ACUUUCAACAACGGAUCUCUUGGUUCUCGCAUCGAUGAAGAACGCAGCGAAUUGCGAUACGUAGUAUGACUUGCAGACGUGAAUCAUCGAAUCUUUGAACGCACAUUG
RNAcentral lists this ribosomal RNA (108 nucleotides) under Clavispora lusitaniae. Its description in RNAcentral is "5.8S rRNA". It matches the Rfam family "5.8S ribosomal RNA", at positions 2 to 113 of the family's 154-position model. Rfam says of the family: 5.8S ribosomal RNA (5.8S rRNA) is a component of the large subunit of the eukaryotic ribosome. Lineage: Eukaryota; Fungi; Ascomycota; Pichiomycetes; Serinales; Metschnikowiaceae. The record is from RNAcentral.